RNAcentral lists this unclassified non-coding RNA (209 nucleotides) under uncultured fungus. RNAcentral's name for it is "sequence contains ITS1". The stretch from base 1 to 106 matches the Rfam family "5.8S ribosomal RNA", at positions 50 to 154 of the family's 154-position model. Rfam says of the family: 5.8S ribosomal RNA (5.8S rRNA) is a component of the large subunit of the eukaryotic ribosome. It is transcribed by RNA polymerase I as part of the 45S precursor that also contains 18S and 28S rRNA. Functionally, it is thought that 5.8S rRNA may be involved in ribosome translocation. Lineage: Eukaryota; Fungi. The record is from RNAcentral.
GAACUGCGAUACGUAAUGCGAAUUGCAGAAUUCAGUGAGUCAUCGAAAUUUUGAACGCAUAUUGCACUUCCGGGUUAUGCCUGGAAGUAUGUCUGUAUCAGUGUCCGUAAAUCAAAGUUGCGUUUCUUCCUUCCGUGUAGUCGGUGGAGGAGAGUUGCAGAUGUGAAGUGUCUCGCUGUGGUUGGCAUUUGUUGUGAAUGCACAGCUUG